This 174-nucleotide unclassified non-coding RNA is filed under the name uncultured fungus. RNAcentral's name for it is "partial contains 5.8S ribosomal RNA, internal transcribed spacer 2, and large subunit ribosomal RNA". The record is from RNAcentral. Lineage: Eukaryota; Fungi.
AAGGAUCAUUAAAAGUUAAGGGUGCUUGCGCCCAAAACUUCAACCCUAUGAAUUAAUAAUUUGUUUCUUUGCCGGUCUCGGCCGGCAGAAGACUUCUAAACUCAUAAAUAACUUGUCCUCUGAAAUUUAAACAUAAUAAUAUUAAAACUUUCAACAACGGAUCUCUUGGUUCUG